GACGAACGCUGGCGGCGUGCCUAACACAUGCAAGUCGAACGAAGCACUGCGGAAAGAGACUUCGGUCAAUGGAAGCUUUGACUUAGUGGCGGACGGGUGAGUAACGCGUGAGGAACCUGCCUUUCAGUGGGGGACAACAGUUGGAAACGACUGCUAAUACCGCAUGAUGUGUUUUGGGGGCAUCCCCGGAACACCAAAGAUUUAUUGCUGAAAGAUGGCCUCGCGUCUGAUUAGAUAGUUGGUGGGGUAACGGCCUACCAAGUCGACGAUCAGUAGCCGGACUGAGAGGUUGAACGGCCACAUUGGGACUGAGAUACGGCCCAGACUCCUACGGGAGGCAGCAGUGGGGAAUAUUGGGCAAUGGGGGAAACCCUGACCCAGCAACGCCGCGUGAAGGAAGAAGGCUUUCGGGUUGUAAACUUCUUUUACCAGGGACGAAGGACGUGACGGUAC
This 453-nucleotide ribosomal RNA is filed under the name uncultured bacterium. RNAcentral's name for it is "bacterial SSU rRNA". It matches the Rfam family "Bacterial small subunit ribosomal RNA", at positions 28 to 478 of the family's 1533-position model. The record is from RNAcentral.